Molecule: long non-coding RNA, 1944 nt
Filed under: Malus domestica (apple)
Lineage: Eukaryota; Viridiplantae; Streptophyta; Magnoliopsida; Rosales; Rosaceae
Description: long non-coding RNA (MDOM_LNC016276)
Source: RNAcentral
AUUAAAAUAAACUAAUAUAGCAUUUGUAUAGGCAAGAACUAAGAAGACAUACAUACAAGUAUAAAAAAUGUGAAAGAAUAUAUAAACACUCGUGAUUCAUCAUUAUUCCUCCACGAGUAGAUAAUGGUUACUGUAAUACCCUAAAAAUGUAAAUAUAUGAAUUUAAUAUUCAAAAUUUUGAAUAUGUAAAAGAAUCGUGAAUUCAUAUUAAUUCAUUUAAGUCUAGCUUUAAAUUAAACUAGUUAAGAAGUCUGAAGUUUGGAAAUUAAUUAUCUAAAAUCGGUAGACCUUUUCAGGUCAAAAUUUAUAUUUUUGAGUAGAGCUCGGUCUCACGAACACGUAGGUGUAGACCGUUCGUGAAACGGAGUUAACGAAGAAGUUAUUAACGAUUAAAACUAGGGGUAAAAUGGUCAGUUGGUCAUAAAUCUGGAAGGCUCCAGAUUUGUUGGGGUUGUUCUAUGGGUGCCACGUGUGUGGCUGUCACUAGAAGGUGAGGAGAGAAAGAAGGGUGCGGACCAAUGGGAAGGGGAGAAGAAAAAGGAAUUAAAAAGGAGGGAAAUGGGGGAUACUGGAUUCUUUUGGAUCCGGGUUCUGUGUGCAACCCGACCCAGCCAUUCUUUCCGAUUUCGAUCACCUUUGAUGAUGAAAAUGGUGCCAAAACAACCCUCCCUUCAACCCUAAUUGAUACCUUUACCAAUUCCAUUCCAAUUUAAAUGGCAAUAUGUCUUAAAUUAGCUAAACCCGCACCGGUGGGGGCGUUACAAACCGUGUCGGCGAUCUCUCCUUGGUGAAGCCACCACCGUCGACCACUACUAUGGGUAGGCUCCCUGUAAACCCAGGAACAUGUCCCAAGCCUUGGUUGGGGCGACGGGGACAUCCGAGAUGACGAAUUAAGGGCACCCAUUUAUAGGGUUUUCGGCGGGUUCGAGGCGAAUUGGAGCAUUUUUAGGCCAAAUUGAACUUGGCAGCAUGUGUAAAGUUUGUUCUACUAUUUGAGACCUUCAUUUCUGUAAUUUUUAGAAUUUUUAGAAAUAGUAAAUUUUUCUGGCGAGGCGGGGCGGCCGACCGCCACCUGCAGCAGCGAGUGCGGCGGCGCACGGCCAGGGAGUCAACAUUGUCUUUUUAUGCGAAUUUCGUUAUUUUAAUUAUGCUUUUGAGAUCUAACUGUUGGGGAUUGAAUAUUAAUACAAUUGUGGUAUAUGUGGGAUUUAAAUGAAUAUAUUCGGUUUUGGUUUGAAUUUUUGAAAACGUGAACUACAAAUGGCUUGAUCCCUGUUUAGGGUACAUAGGCAAUCUAACGAGACAUUAGAUGCAGCCACAAAACAAGUGAGAUUAAAUACUUCGAGGGUAGAUAUUACUAUAAUGGAAAUUGACCUAUAAUUUCAGGGCCAGGUCGUUACAGUUACACUUACUUAUCGUUUAGAUUUUUAAAAUCCUCCAAACCUUCAUGAAUAAUGUUUUUUAUUUGAGGGAAAAAUUAAUAAAAUUAAUAAUAACUAUUGUAGAAGUGUAAAAAAUGUAAAAAAAAAAUAUACAAUCACUCAUAGUGACAAAUUUUACAACUUUCAUGAAAGGGUCAGCUUCGAAAUCCAACACUAUAAUUCAUAAACCUUAAAUUUAUAUUUAACCGUCGAUUGCUAUUUACGCUUUAUUCUUCUUACUGAAUUUCAUUUUUUAAAUUUUCUUUUUGAAAACAUGAUCAUCUGACGGAUGUAAGAAGAUGAACGGUUCAGAUCUUUGAUAUCACGUUUCGAUAUUUACGGUUAUUGAAAUAUGAGUCAUGCCAUAUAGUUUGUAGAAACUUUAUAAACAUCAAGCAAUAUUUUCACUAACCGUAAAACUCUAAAUAUAAUAUUAACGAUCCAAACCGUUCAUUUUCCUGCAUCUUCUAAUAAAUCAAGUUUUCAAAAAACAAAAUUUGAAAAAACAAAAUUUGAUGAGAAC